Molecule: long non-coding RNA, 377 nt
Filed under: Hordeum vulgare
Lineage: Eukaryota; Viridiplantae; Streptophyta; Magnoliopsida; Poales; Poaceae
Description: long non-coding RNA (HVUL_LNC000165)
Source: RNAcentral
AUAUCGCCAAUUCCAUGAUGCCUAUUAACCCCAUCAAUUUGGUGUGCUUGUAACAUGUACUUAAAACCACUUCCAUGCAUGCAGCUAGCAAUGUUUCUUAAAAAAAUAAGAGCUAGCAAUAUGAACAGAAGUAUUGAUCAGAGCAAGCCGGGGCUACGACUACUCACUUAAAUGGAGUUGAAACGCGUACGUUGUGACAUUCAUCCGUACCGUGCGGUACUUAUUUUUCUUACUGUUGAAGUGGCCGUACACAUACACAUGCAAUUCUGAAUUUCAUAUAUACUAGUUCUUCUAAAGAACCGCUAAGAACAUUGCCAACUGAUGAUGAAAAGUUUGAUGCCUGGAAAAUAAAUAUAGGAGAGGAGAGAGAGAGAGAG